RNAcentral lists this ribosomal RNA (468 nucleotides) under uncultured bacterium. Its description in RNAcentral is "partial 16S ribosomal RNA". It matches the Rfam family "Bacterial small subunit ribosomal RNA", at positions 28 to 507 of the family's 1533-position model. The record is from RNAcentral.
GACGAACGCUGGCGGCGUGCUUAACACAUGCAAGUCGAACGGAAAGGCCCUGCUUUUGUGGGGUGCUCGAGUGGCGAACGGGUGAGUAACACGUGAGUAACCUGCCCUUGACUUUGGGAUAACUUCAGGAAACUGGGGCUAAUACCGGAUAGGAGCUCCUGCUGCAUGGUGGGGGUUGGAAAGUUUCGGCGGGUGGGGAUGGACUCGCGGCUUAUCAGCUUGUUGGUGGGGUAGUGGCUUACCAAGGCUUUGACGGGUAGCCGGCCUGAGAGGGUGACCGGCCACAUUGCGACUGAGAGACGGCCCAGAGUCCUACGGGAGGCAGCAGUGGGGAAUAUUGCACAAUGGGCGGAAGCCUGAUGCAGCAACGCCGCGUGCGGGAUGACGGCCUGCGGGUUGUAAACCGCAUUCGCCUGUGACGAAGCGUGAGUGACGGUAAUGGGUAAAGAAGCACCGGCUAACUACGUG